Molecule: ribosomal RNA, 374 nt
Filed under: uncultured bacterium
Lineage: Bacteria
Description: bacterial SSU rRNA
Rfam family: Bacterial small subunit ribosomal RNA
Source: RNAcentral
AGCGAACGCUAGCGGCGGGCCUAACACAUGCAAGUCGAGCGGAGAACUUCGGUUCUUAGCGGGCGGACGGGUGAGUAACGCGUAGGUAAUGUGCCUUCUGGUGGGGAACAACCGUGCGAAAGCAUGGCUAAUACCGCAUAUGUCGAGAGAUGAAAGCCUUCGGGCGCCAGUAGAGCAGCCUGCGUCCCAUUAUUUAGGUCCUAGUUGGUGAGGUAACGGCUCACCAAGGGGUACGAUGGGUAGCUGGUCUGAGAGGAUGAUCAGCCACACUGGAACUGAGACACGGUCCAGACUCCUACGGGAGGCAGCAGUGGGGAAUAUUGCGCAAUGGGCGAAAGCCUGACGCAGCCACGCCGCGUGAAGUGAUGAAGGCC